GCCAAGACAAAAAGGGACUGGGUUUGGAGAAAGCGUCGCGCGGGCUCACCUCGGGGCCGCGCUCCCCCAGCCUCGCGGUCGGCCGCCUAGCCGCCAGCCACCCCGCCGGGCGCCUCGGAGCAUUGUUUGGAGAUCCACAGGGAUGAGCCGCUGAGCCUCCACCCAGCUGGAGAGGAGGAAGACUGGUUUCCCUUGAGAUUCCUGUGCUUUCCAUGAGCUCUGGCAGUGACAACAGGCCUGAGCGGGUGAGGAGGGAAGAAAGCCGACAUGCAGAGGACCACAUAAUUUGCCAAGGCCCAUCAGCUGAACAGUGGCAACACUGGGAUCAGAGGCAACAACCGCAUGGGUCCACUGGUGGACAAUCCCAGUCUGCCGUGCUGCCCUCUCCCAAGUUCUGGCAGUCCAGCCCAAUUUUUCUUUCUUCUUAAAGUGAGAGGAAACCACGUGAACGAACGUGGAGGGAAAACUCUGGCUGACCUCCAUCAGCAUCCAACAAAACGGGAGGGGCCAGGCCUCUCUUUACUAAGACCGGGUGGGGAGGAGGGUGUUGAUAAGCAGACAGAUACAAAGUGGUCUGCACUGGACAAAUACAAAAAUGGCAUAAGGAUGUGCGUGCGGUUUAGUUACAGUGGGAGAUGGCGCACGCCCGGGAUCAGAGGAGUUCCUGGUUCCCAUGAUUCAGGCUGGAUGCGACCGUUCUUCCUCUGUAAGGCCUGAGUGGGGACACCCACCUCACAGGAUCGAGCAUACAGAAGGCAUUCUUGUUCCCACUUGAUCUUCCUCUCUUUACUUACUGUAUCCUGAAGACACAGACAGGCUGAGGAAGUAAUGAUCAGAAGCCAAGGCAACAGUAUGACGGGAUUGGCAGUUCUGUGGCAUGGGACGACAAUUGAAGGGUUAAUUUAGUCUUUCUGCAAAAUAAACCAUGUUCCCAAGUGUUUUGCUGUGCUCACACAAAAUAAAUGCAUUAUACUGUAGUUGCUGGCAUAUCACGUGCAUCUUUUUAUGCCAGCGACAUGGCCUUAAAGAUGGCUUCAUCUUGCCUAAUGAAAAGAAUCAAAAAAUACUUCAAAAGACCCACUUAGAUCCACGUAAAAUACCCAUUCUCUUAUGCAGUUCUCCACCAGUGACUGUUAAGUGUGUUAUCUCCUCAGUAAAGCUGCGGUAAGCUUAUGCAUUUUAAAUAAACAAUUCUUGCUUGA
Zalophus californianus (California sea lion) is the source of this 1202-nucleotide long non-coding RNA. RefSeq lists it as uncharacterized. NCBI's taxonomy places the organism in Eukaryota, Metazoa, Chordata, Mammalia, Carnivora, Otariidae. The transcript is spliced from 3 exons. The record is from RefSeq and is a predicted model, not a curated record.